This 450-nucleotide ribosomal RNA is filed under the name uncultured bacterium. RNAcentral describes it as "partial 16S ribosomal RNA". It matches the Rfam family "Bacterial small subunit ribosomal RNA", at positions 354 to 796 of the family's 1533-position model. The record is from RNAcentral.
GUGGGGAAUUUUGGACAAUGGGCGAAAGCCUGAUCCAGCAAUGCCGCGUGUGUGAAGAAGGCCUUCGGGUUGUAAAGCACUUUUGUCCGGAAAGAAAUCUGUCUGGCUAAUACCUAGAUGGGAUGACGGUACCGGAAGAAUAAGCACCGGCUAACUACGUGCCAGCAGCCGCGGUAAUACGUAGGGUGCGAGCGUUAAUCGGAAUUACUGGGCGUAAAGCGUGCGCAGGCGGUUUUGUAAGACCGAUGUGAAAUCCCCGGGCUUAACCUGGGAACUGCAGUGGUGAAUGCAAGGCUAGAGUGCGUCAGAGGGGGGUGGAAUUCCGCGUGUAGCAGUGAAAUGCGUAGAGAUGCGGAGGAACACCGAUGGCGAAGGCAGCCCCCUGGGAUGACACUGACGCUCAUGCACGAAAGCGUGGGGAGCGAACGGGAUUAGAUACCCUGGUAGUCC